This 73-nucleotide transfer RNA is filed under the name Myxococcales bacterium. RNAcentral's name for it is "tRNA-Pro". It matches the Rfam family "tRNA". From Rfam's summary of the family: Transfer RNA (tRNA) molecules are approximately 80 nucleotides in length. Their secondary structure includes four short double-helical elements and three loops (D, anti-codon, and T loops). The record is from RNAcentral. RNAcentral also lists the same sequence under 1 other name. Lineage: Bacteria; Pseudomonadati; Myxococcota; Myxococcia; Myxococcales.
CAGCGCGUAGCUUAGUGGCCAAAGCGUCGGCUCGGGGAGCCGAAGACCGCAGGUUCGAAUCCUGCCGCGCUGA